GGGAGGGCAUAGGUAGUUGCCACCACCACCCACUCACUCGUUCUGUAGCACAUGUUUUCCCGAUCGAGGUGACCCAUUGAUCACAGAAAACGCACGUGUUUUGUACCGCUGCACCCUGUUCUGCGCCACCGCUACCAGGUGACGCUGCAGGAUUUCCCCCCAACCUGUUGCCGUCAACCAGCUACAGACGGUGCCGAAAGGGUUUUAAGGCUGACUACUCGGUCGUACACCGAGACACUCGAUUUGAUCCACAGUCUCGAAGCACGAGAGACGAGUAAGCAAGCCACAGCUCGGUAUCCAGCGCUCACUUCACCAUGAGGGCCGACUUGCUGACUUUCGUGUUUCUCAUGUCCGCCUUCGCCGUUUUGACGGACAUGGCAGCGGCAUACGAAGUGACCCACUUCGAUAUAGGCCUUGGAUGCCCGAAGUCAUUGCUGACUUGUUCACAAGAAUGCCGAAGAACUUACGGUCAUCGAGGAGGAUACUGCAACGGACCGUUCAACAUCGUCUGUACCUGCACCUAACCGGGCAUCAAAAUGACUGAUUACGUGGCCACUACGUCGCCAUUCGUGUUCGUCACAAUUAUGUCACCAUUCGAAUUAUCACCACCCGAAUGGUGAUCACGUCACCAUUCGUGUUCACAGUUUUCUUAAGGGUCACUGCAUGAUGUGCUAGAUGACAUGAUAUAUUUUUACGCGUUGUACGAUAAUAACUGCCUGUAUUGUUACAUUACCUACAUGUUAUUUAUGCACAUUAUUUUAUCUUAUGUUAGGAAUACGAUUUCGUUGUUACUGGUUGGUUUUCUUUCUUUAACACCAACUUAUGUUCCUCGUUAGACGCGCUUUUAUUGUGGUUGCGUUUAACAUGUGUGAAUAUGUGAAAGUUGUUUUUUAAUAUCAUAGGUUUAUUUUAUCAGCCAUGAAUUUUUGUAGCUAGAGCACUAAACCAUUUUUUCACUGUCACAUACAGUUUUUUUUUUAAAUAUUUUUAGGAUUAGGUUUAAGC
Molecule: long non-coding RNA, 1005 nt
Organism: Rhipicephalus sanguineus (brown dog tick)
Lineage: Eukaryota; Metazoa; Arthropoda; Arachnida; Ixodida; Ixodidae
Exons: 3
Source: RefSeq, a predicted model, not a curated record